UACGGGGGGGGUAAGCGUUGUUCGGAAUUACUGGGCGUAAAGGGCUCGUAGGCGGCCAACUAAGUCAGACGUGAAAUCCCUCGGCUUAACCGGGGAACUGCGUCUGAUACUGGAUGGCUUGAGAUUGGGAGAGGGAUGCGGAAUUCCCGGUGUAGUGGUGAAAUGCGUAGAUAUCGGGAGGAACACCAGUGGCGAAGGCGACUUCCUGGCCUGUUCUUGACGCUGAGGCGCGAAAGCUAGGGUAGCAAACGGG
This 253-nucleotide ribosomal RNA is filed under the name uncultured bacterium. Its description in RNAcentral is "partial 16S ribosomal RNA". It matches the Rfam family "Bacterial small subunit ribosomal RNA", at positions 524 to 776 of the family's 1533-position model. The record is from RNAcentral.